This is a long non-coding RNA of Ceratitis capitata (Mediterranean fruit fly), 3222 nucleotides long. RefSeq lists it as uncharacterized. The transcript has 2 exons. The record is from RefSeq and is a predicted model, not a curated record. NCBI's taxonomy places the organism in Eukaryota, Metazoa, Arthropoda, Insecta, Diptera, Tephritidae.
CCGAAGCGUAGCUUGCGGCCUGGCUCGUAAGUGCGUGCCGGAUCAGAGCCAGUGUCGCUGUGCAACAAACACUGAAGGAGUGCAACCAAUACCUCCAGUUUAACACCAAUACGGAGGAUGUUGCAACAGAUGGAAUAGGGGUAUUCUAUCUUUUUGAAGCCGUUCUUUUAUAACAGGCUUCAUUACAAUCUUAUAAAAAGAAAUUUGACAUUAAAAGUAGUAUAUCGUCCAGACCAUCUAUGGACGAACGCAUUAAUUUAAUGCGUAAAAUAUUGAAAAAUUAUGAUAGUAAAACCGGUACAAAGCCACCAGAAGAUCCAAAUGAUGAUAUAAUCUUAUUUGGUGGCGGUAUUAGGCGAGAUGAUAAAUAAUUGUCAUAAUAAAAUGACGGGCAUGUCUCUUCAGAGUGUAGGAAGGGGAUAAAGUGCUUCGGGUGCGGAAGACUUGGUGUUGUGAAGCGGGACUGUCUGGCGUGUGCUGCGAAGCCGAGUGGCUCCCCGAGAACCCUAAGAAGUUCGGCUUCCAGAGCGAUAGGGUUGUCAGAUCGGACAACAGAUCGGGAAACGGGAGAUAGACCCCUGGGACAGCAGGACAGGUGGUCUCAUAGGGGGAGUUAGUGAACCUGCUAAGUGAUGAAAUUCAUAUUAAAUAAACAAUAAGAAAUAGUAUAAAUAGGUUUAAGUGUAAAAUGUAAGGGGGACUUUUGAAGCAACGGCUUAAUUUGUUUUUCUUUUUAAAAACAUUUCGCGACCGGGCAAAAAAAUAAGUGGCGAUGCUGCCAGGAGAUGUAAAAAAAUCUCUUGAACUCAAAUAAAAAUUUUUUUUUUGGCAACUAAAAAAGGAGACAAAAAUCUCCAGUUGUCCAAAAUAAAGAAACAAGUAUCGUAAUAAAUACGAGAAAAGUAAAACAAAAACCGAAAAAACUUUGAACAUGAAGGAUAUGAUUAUUAACGGUGAUAGUGACCAGACAUCAACAGGGAGAUAUAACAGAUUAUUAUUAACGGUUGAACGGAUUAUCCGAUUUUCUUUGUUCUUAUUUUCGAGUAGAACGCCAUUUUUUAUGGUUUUCUCCGCAUUAGAUGGAAGUGAAAAAUAUACAAGCUAUGGUAAUAAUAUAUUUUGGAUUAAUUAAUUACUCCAUUUUUCAUUGCUUUUUACAUUUGUUUAUUAUCGUACGAAAAGAUAAACUAAUAGAGCAGUUUGACUGGAAUGGACGCUUCUCAUCUAGCCGCAGUAGCAGAUUUAAAAAUAUUCGACAAAACUUUGCUUUGAGGUGCAACUGCAUUUAGACAUUAAUGACAUUCUGAUUCGAAUAUUCAUUUUUUUUAUUGUACUUAGGCAUCUUUAUACUUCAAAGGAGUUGUGAUAAUUACGGAGGCGUUCGUGGGGCUUAGGAGCUGCGUCACCAACGCAUGACACUAUUAUAGACUUUUGCAUAUGUGGGUUUGCUAACAAAAUUUUGCAGAUUUUUGAAAAUGAAUUUAUUGCUAUAUUAUUAUUUCCUUGUAUGUAUAAACAAUGUACCUGAUCUAUGUAAAAAUAUUGAAAAAAAGGCUGAAUCAUAAUAAUGUUUGUAUGUAUGUAUAUAUUGUAAGAGGCAGUAUGUAUAUAGUACGUAUGCAUAUACCACCUUAGGUUUAGUUUUAAGUCUUAGUCUUAGUACUUUAUUAUGUGUAAAUUAGAAACUAGGUGGCAACUCUAGCUUAUAAGAUAUUUAUCGAUAACUGGCGAUUAAGACUCCAUGUACGUUACAAUUACGCAAUUUUAAAAAUAAAGAAGAGAAACCAUUCUGUUUUAUACAAUUGAACUAAACGGUUGUGUUAUUUGGCUAUCCUGGACCUUUCAUCAGAAGUGGUCUUAGACCUACAAAAUAUACAAAAACGCAAAGCCAAUAUCAGUGUUUAACUUUAAAUCAAAAGCAUUUCAAAAUGAAUUGCGAAACAAUUGACGCUGAAAAAUACAUACUUCUCCAACUCAAAGCGUGGUGUACAGCAGAGGGCAUAAAUGCUAGUGGGGCAAAAGCUUCGUUAGCGGCAAGAUUGAAUGAUUUGUCCGCUGAAGCCCGUGGAUUAUGCCCAAGUACAAGUGGACCAUCAAGCAGGAGAAGUUACUUAAGCGACAACAACGAAGAAAGUGACCACGACGAAGCGGACGAGAAAGCAAAUUUAAUUGGCAAAGGCGAGGAAAAUACAGUGAACGACGGUGAGAAAAACGUAGCGGUCAACGUACAGAAAAAUGUAGCGGAUAACGGAUCACAAAGUAGCGUUACAUCCAACAAAAACAACGAAGCGACAGUGUGCUAUACAUCUUAAGUUAAAAGGAGCGGCUUAGCAUGGUAUAAUGCGAAAACGACCAUACCAGAAAAUGUCGACUAACUACUCAAAGAAAUGAAGUAUGUGUUUGGAGGCGCUGAAAGUGUCCUCGUGCGUCGACGCAAAUUUGAGAGAAAGUAUUCUCAUUAAUAAAAAAGAAAUACUGAAAACACAACUGAUACCAUCCGAGCAUCGUAUCAAACGUGUCCAUAUUUUUUUUUGGCUCAAUUUUGAAAUUUAUAACAGGUCUUAACCAGUUAAUAGAAUAAUAAUAAUCUACAAAGACAAAUUAAUUCACAAUCUUAGAGAAAAUCCUAGAAGCUUUAGAUACAAAAUCCAUAACAAAAACAUUAAUUAUUAGGGAAAUAUAAGAUAACACAACAGCUUACAAUAAUUUUUGCGAAUUGGGCAAUAACCCAUGCACCUCGAUAAACAACGCUUCACGCGAGUUACAUAUGGAAAUUAUAACAAAUCAGCAAUUAGCGAUAUUGACCAAUUUAUUAACUGCAUAACAAGCAUAAUGUUAAUCACCACAUCCUUUGGCUGGUUGGCCUUUGCCAUAAACUCUCGUUGGUAUUGUUUUUUUUUUUUUUUUUAACUCCCCUGACGGACUCGAUUAGGAAAGUGGCGCAGUCGGUAAUCCUUUUUAUCAACAAAAAAAAGGAUAGUGAUACGAACACGAAAUAAGAAACGUGAACGUAUAUAUAUAAAAAUAAAAUAAAAAAAAAAUAUAAAAAAACCCUUACUAAUCCUGCGAUUCCGUAGCCAACUCAAGAGUUGACCGGACCCUCUAGGAUAUAACAUAAUAUAUAUAAAUCAAACAUACAGUGUGGCAGUGCAGUGACUUUUCAAGGAAACCACCCACAUACAAAAAUAAAGUGAGAGUGCAGCGGACCAAAGCUCUUGCGAA